RNAcentral lists this ribosomal RNA (253 nucleotides) under uncultured bacterium. RNAcentral's name for it is "partial 16S ribosomal RNA". It matches the Rfam family "Bacterial small subunit ribosomal RNA", at positions 524 to 776 of the family's 1533-position model. The record is from RNAcentral.
UACAUGGGGUGCAAACGUUGCUCGGAAUUAUUGGGCGUAAAGCGCGCGUAGGCGGUUACUUAAGUCGGAUGUGAAAGCCCUCGGCUUAACUGAGGAAGUGCACCCGAAACUGAGUAGCUAGAGUACGAAAGAGGGUCGCGGAAUUCCCGGUGUAGAGGUGAAAUUCGUAGAUAUCGGGAGGAACACCAGUGGCGAAGGCGGCUACCUGGACCGGUUCUGACGCUGAGGCGCGAAAGCGUGGGUAGCAAACAGG